GGAUGAACGCUAGCUACAGGCUUAACACAUGCAAGUCGAGGGGCAGCAUUUUAGUUUGCUUGCAAACUAAAGAUGGCGACCGGCGCACGGGUGAGUAACACGUAUCCAACCUGCCGUCUACUCUUGGACAGCCUUCUGAAAGGAAGAUUAAUACAAGAUGGCAUCAUGAGUCCGCACGUUCACAUGAUUAAAGGUAUUCCGGUAGACGAUGGGGAUGCGUUCCAUUAGAUAGUAGGCGGGGUAACGGCCCACCUAGUCUUCGAUGGAUAGGGGUUCUGAGAGGAAGGUCCCCCACAUUGGAACUGAGACACGGUCCAAACUCCUACGGGAGGCAGCAGUGAGGAAUAUUGGUCAAUGGGCGAGAGCCUGAACCAGCCAAGUAGCGUGAAGGAUGACUGCCCUAUGGGUUGUAAACUUCUUUUAUAAAGGAAUAAAGUCGGGUAUGGAUACCCGUUUGCAUGUACUUUAUGAAUAAGGAUCGGCUAACUCCGUGCCAGCAGCCGCGGUAAUACGGAGGAUCCGAGCGUUAUCCGGAUUUAUUGGGUUUAAAGGGAGCGUAGAUGGAUGUUUAAGUCAGUUGUGAAAGUUUGCGGCUCAACCGUAAAAUUGCAGUUGAUACUGGAUAUCUUGAGUGCAGUUGAGGCAGGCGGAAUUCGUGGUGUAGCGGUGAAAUGCUUAGAUAUCACGAAGAACUCCGAUUGCGAAGGCAGCCUGCUAAGCUGCAACUGACAUUGAGGCUCGAAAGUGUGGGUAUCAAACAGGAUUAGAUACCCUGGUAGUCCACACGGUAAACGAUGAAUACUCGCUGUUUGCGAUAUACAGCAAGCGGCCAAGCGAAAGCGUUAAGUAUUCCACCUGGGGAGUACGCCGGCAACGGUGAAACUCAAAGGAAUUGACGGGGGCCCGCACAAGCGGAGGAACAUGUGGUUUAAUUCGAUGAUACGCGAGGAACCUUACCCGGGCUUAAAUUGCAGAUGAAUUACGGUGAAAGCCGUAAGCCGCAAGGCAUCUGUGAAGGUGCUGCAUGGUUGUCGUCAGCUCGUGCCGUGAGGUGUCGGCUUAAGUGCCAUAACGAGCGCAACCCUUGUUGUCAGUUACUAACAGGUUCCGCUGAGGACUCUGACAAGACUGCCAUCGUAAGAUGUGAGGAAGGUGGGGAUGACGUCAAAUCAGCACGGCCCUUACGUCCGGGGCUACACACGUGUUACAAUGGGGGGUACAGAGGGCCGCUACCACGCGAGUGGAUGCCAAUCCCCAAAACCUCUCUCAGUUCGGACUGGAGUCUGCAACCCGACUCCACGAAGCUGGAUUCGCUAGUAAUCGCGCAUCAGCCACGGCGCAGUGAAUACGUUCCCGGGCCUUGUACACACCGCCCGUCAAGCCAUGGGAGCCGGGGGUACCUGAAGUGCGUAACCGCGAGGAGCGCCCUAGGGUA
This 1435-nucleotide ribosomal RNA is filed under the name uncultured organism. RNAcentral describes it as "16S ribosomal RNA". It matches the Rfam family "Bacterial small subunit ribosomal RNA". The record is from RNAcentral.